This 200-nucleotide ribosomal RNA is filed under the name uncultured bacterium. RNAcentral describes it as "partial 16S ribosomal RNA". It matches the Rfam family "Bacterial small subunit ribosomal RNA", at positions 1300 to 1500 of the family's 1533-position model. The record is from RNAcentral.
GCAGUCUGCAACUCGAGUGCAUGAAGCUGGAAUCGCUAGUAAUCGCGGAUCAGAAUGCCGCGGUGAAUACGUUCCCGGGCCUUGUACACACCGCCCGUCACACCAUGGGAGCCGGUAAUACCCGAAGUCAGUAGUCCAACCUCGUGAGGACGCUGCCGAAGGUAGGAUUGGCGACUGGGGUGAAGUCGUAACAAGGUAAC